RNAcentral lists this ribosomal RNA (324 nucleotides) under uncultured eukaryote. Its description in RNAcentral is "partial 18S ribosomal RNA". It matches the Rfam family "Eukaryotic small subunit ribosomal RNA", at positions 1470 to 1796 of the family's 1831-position model. The record is from RNAcentral.
CCCUUAGAUGUUCUGGGCUGCACGCGCGCUACACUGAAGCGUUCAACGAGUAUUCACCUUGCCCGGGAGGGUUGGGUAAUCUUUUGAAAACGCUUCGUGAUGGGGAUAGAUUAUUGCAAUUAUUAAUCUUCAACGAGGAAUUCCUAGUAAACGCAAGUCAUCAGCUUGCAUUGAUUACGUCCCUGCCCUUUGUACACACCGCCCGUCGCACCUACCGAUUGAAUGGUCCGGUGAAAUCUCCGGACUGGCGUGAGUCGGAGCAAUCUGACAAACACCGGAAAGUUGAUUAAACCUUACCAUUUAGAGGAAGGUGAAGUCGUAACA